AUGGCCUGCGAGCACACAGGCCAGGGCCGACCAUGGCUUACGAGCUCGAGGCAUGUUACAACUCCAAAUUUUGCUUCCAUAUUUGUUUUUGCUGGAAACAGUGUACUAAUUUGUUACCAUCAUCUUCGUUUUUUUCUGGAACUAACCAAAUUUUGCUGCCAUGUCUUUUUGCUGGAAUCAUUUUGUACCACUUUUUUGUUACAACAGUUUUGGUUUUUUGCUACUAUCGGCACUGCCGUUUGUUACAUCCUUUUUCAUGAGGUUGUCGAGACCCUGCAACUAUGUGUUUUGCUACAACCUUGUACACUUUUUGCUACAACCUUGUGCAUUUUUUGCUACUACCAGAGAAGCCCCUAG
Molecule: ribosomal RNA, 357 nt
Filed under: Triticum aestivum (bread wheat)
Lineage: Eukaryota; Viridiplantae; Streptophyta; Magnoliopsida; Poales; Poaceae
Description: partial small subunit ribosomal RNA
Source: RNAcentral